Molecule: long non-coding RNA, 415 nt
Filed under: Homo sapiens (human)
Lineage: Eukaryota; Metazoa; Chordata; Mammalia; Primates; Hominidae
Description: HSALNT0116959
Source: RNAcentral
GCACUAAAACCUAUAUUUUCAAACAAUACCACAGGCAAAGAAAGACUCAGGAAAUGCCGAUUAAAGAGCUGAUCCAGGGAAGACAGCCAUCACUUCAACAACGAUGCCCUCCAUGGAGGGCUGAUUCUAGGGAAGACUGAGCGAUCACUCCAAGAGUGAUGCCAUCUAUGGAGGGCUGAUUCUAGGGAAGACUGAGCGAUCACUCCAAGAGCGAUGCCAUUCAUGGAGGGCUGAUCCAGGGAAGACUGAGCAAGCAAUCACUCCAAGAGCGAUGCCAUCCAUGGAGGGCUGAUUCUAGGGAAGACUGAGCGAUCACUCCAAGAGCGAUACCAUCCAUGGAGGGUUGAUUCUAGGGAAGACUGAGCGAUCACUCCAAGAGCGAUGCCAUCCAUGGAGGGCUGAUUCUAGGGAAGAC